Molecule: transfer RNA, 65 nt
Filed under: Lamprogrammus niger
Lineage: Eukaryota; Metazoa; Chordata; Actinopteri; Ophidiiformes; Ophidiidae
Description: tRNA-Cys
Source: RNAcentral
AGCCCCGAGGUGUUAUCAUAACGGAUUGCAAAUCCGGAGUCGCAGGCUAACACCUGCCGGGGCUU